This 342-nucleotide ribosomal RNA is filed under the name Demodex brevis. RNAcentral describes it as "partial 16S ribosomal RNA". The record is from RNAcentral. Lineage: Eukaryota; Metazoa; Arthropoda; Arachnida; Trombidiformes; Demodicidae.
GAGGUAUUUUGACUGUGCUAAGGUAGCGAAGUCAUUUGUUUUUUUAUUGGAAACUUGUAUGAGGGGAUUUUUUGAGAAAUUUUUAUUAAUUUUUAUGAUUUUGAAUUUGAUUUUUUAGUGAAAAGGCUAAAGUGUUCUUAAAGACGAGAAGACCCUAAAAUCUUUAUUUUACAGAAGGGAUAGUAAAUUUUACUUGGGGGAAGGUUGUAUUAUAAUUUAUAAAAAUUUGUUAUUUUGAACUUUUUGAAGGUUGAUGGGAUAGAUACUUUAGGGAUAACAGGAUAAUGUGAUUUUAAAGUUCUUAUUUGAGAUUGAGUUUGUUACCUCGAUGUUGGCUUUUGA